AAGGUAUAUGGGUACUUUCUUUUCUUGUUAAUUAAGGCAUGAUUUGAUUUGCUAGCUUUGUGUUGUGCACAGUAUCAGAGAUAACUAUAUCUAUUAUCCUGUAUAUUCUUAUUUUUUGUGGCCAUCGGAUGCAUGCAGGUGGUGACACAAUGGAAACAAUUCACGUAAAAGAGUCAACAAUAAUACGGCCUGCUCAAGAAACCCCCAGACAUUGCCUACGGUUGAGUGAUUUAGACCUGCUGAUGCCGGCAAGUCACAUCCCCAGUGUGUAUUUCUACCGAGGGCCAAAUUACCCUUGCAAUUUCUUUGAAGGUGGUUUACUGAAGGAGGCUUUGAGUAAAGUUCUUGUCCCGUUUUACCCCUUGGCCGGAAGAUUGGGUAAAGAUGAAAAUGGCAGAAUUGAAAUAAAAUGCAAAGGAGAGGGAGUUUUAUUUAUUGAAGCUGAAACGAGUUAUGUCACUGAUGAUUUUGGUGACUUUGAAUCAAGCUCGAAGCUCGUGCAACUUGUUCCACCUGUUGAUCGCACGAAAGAUGCAUGUUUUCAUCCACUUAUUAUGGCACAGGUAGAAGAAUAAGAAUAAAAAGAGAGCUCGUGUAUUUCCUCAUUUUAUUAAAAAUGAAAUUAGGAGCUAUUCCAUCAAAAGAAUUAUUCAUAAUACUCACUCAAACUUAGUCACUUUAUUUCUUUAUAGGUAACUCAUUUUAAGUGUGGAGGAGUUUCUCUUGGACUUAUGAUGCAUCAUCUGCCAAUGGACGGAACUACGGCAUAUCACUUCAUGAACUCAUGGGCUGAGAUGUCGCGUGGCAUUCCUAUUAGCGUUCCACCAAUCUUUGAUCGAACUAUACUAGAUGUUGGAGUCCCAACUUCUCCAUCAUUUCACCACAUCGAACACGAUCCCCCUCCUUUCAUGAAUAGUCCUACUCAAAAUCCUCAAGCCAUUUCCACUGCAAUCCUGAAAUUAUCACCUGAUCAAAUGAACAUCCUUAAAGAAAAAUCUAAGGGAGAUCACGGAUCCACCGUCAAGUAUACUAGAUUUGAGAUUGUAGCAGCACAUAUAUGGCGCUGCGCAUGUAAAGCACGAGGGUUGUCUAUUGAUCAAGCUACCAAGUUAGAGAUUCCCACAUCUGGGCGAUUUAAAUUGAAUCCUAAAAUUCCACUUGGGUAUUGUGGCAAUGUAAACUUCAGCGCCACACCAAUGGCCUUGUCAGGUGAUAUUCAAUCGGAAUCGUUAAAUUGUACAACAGAGAGAAUUCAUGAAGCAAUUAAAUUGAGGGAUGACAAGUAUAUGAAGUCAGGGCUUGCCUACCUAAAGCAACAACCUGAUUUAACAGUUAUCAGGCGAGACCCCAAAAUUAUUAAUUGUCCAAACCUGCUGAUAACCAAAGUAGCAGACAUGCCUAUGUACGAGGUAGAUUUUGGAUGGGGUCGGCCGGUGUUUACGACGCCUUGGGCCGCCGUGGACGGAGAGAUUUUCAUUUUACCUGGUCCAACCAAUGAUGGGAGCUGGUUGGUGGUUGUAGACAUGGAAACUAACCACUUGCAGCACUUCAACAAGUAUUUUUAUGAUAUCUUUCCGUAAUCCCACGAUGUAAUAAUGUCUUUGGGUGGAUACUUACGAUUGGGUCCGCCUUCGUUACACUUAAUGUAACUUACGGUGAGUCUGUGAAGUUUCAUCUAAUCUCCUAUGUUCUAUGUAAUUUAUAUUUUAUUCAUGAAUAUUAUAAACUUUUUGAAAUGUCAAAUUUCGUUUAACCCCUUAUACUCAAUUUUAUUUUAUUGAAAUCUUAGAGUAUGAAUUCGCCUCUAUAAUUUUAAACUCUCAAAAUAAUUUUUAUUUAAUUAAAAAAUAUAAUUAUUGUUAAAUGAAUUAUAAUUAUAAUUAUUAUUUUAUUAUAAUCAUAAACUGCUGUACUAUAAUCAUAAAUAUUUUUUAAAUAAAUUAUUAUUAUUAUUAAUAAUAAGAAUAAAAGAUAUUAUAAUUAAUUAAUCUAUUAACAAUAAUUAAUAAUAUUUUUUAACCCGUAAACACCGGCCGACCCCAUGCAAAAUCUACCUCGUACAUAGGCAUGUCUGCUACUUUGGUUAUCAGCAGGUUUGGACAAUUGACCCUCUUAUUAUUUGCUGAUAUGUUUCUAAUAAUGAACCCCCUUUUGUCCUUUUGAAAUGAUUAAUGAAGUGCUUGAGUGCAUUGAAGUUAUUUUAAAAGUACACAUAAAGAUUUGACAUUUACUUAUUUUUUAAAAAUAAAAAAGCAGGUAAAAUUUAAAUUAAUUUUUUAUUUCUUAUUUUUUAAUUCAGAUUGUCAAUUGAAUCCAUUUGUUAAAAAAUUAUUUAAUUAUCUCUUUAUGUUCGAACGAUGAUGACUUUAAAUAAUAAUUCUUACAAAUCACUCAAUUAAGUCCACCGGGCCAAUUAAAUAUUAUUUGUUUAUAUUAAUUUUAAUUCAAUUGAAAUUCCAUAGUAAUUUAACCUAAAGUUUAACACUCACAAAUAAUUUAUAGUUCAUUGUAAUUCCACAAAAUUAUUAGUUCUUGUAAUUUAAAUUAUUUUAAGGAAUUGAAUCAUAAUAUUUUGAAUUUAAUUCAAUCUUUCACGUGACUUUGUUGAAUAAAACUGACGGAUGUGUUUUAUAUAUUUAAAUUGUUAGGAUUUUUUUAAUUUAAAUUGUUAGAAAGUAAUGGAUUAAAUUUAUAGCAAUUUCUGGAUGUGUUUUAUGUAUGUUAGGAUUUUUCUAAUUUAAAUUGUUGGAGAUAAUGGAAUAAAUUAUAAAAAUUUGUGGGUGUGUUUUAUAUAUUUAAAUUGUUAUGUUAAUGGACAAAAUGUUAUAAAAGUUUCUAAUUACUUAUUCUUAAUACAAAUGUUAAUUAUUUUGUAGAAAUGGAGAAUUUGGAAAAUGAGCAUGCAUUUGAAGAGUUGCAAGAAACAAGAGCCAACAAUGUAGAUAAAAUUAUGCAACCGAAAAAAUAUGACCCAACUCUUGGGAUAUUAUUUAAUAGUCAUGAAAAAAUGUUUGCAUUUUACAAAGUCUAUGAUAAAUAAGAAGGGUUCCUGUAAAGGUUCGAACUACUAAGAAAGUGACUGAUGAAAUUGUAAAAUAUGCGACAUUUGCAUGUGGUCGUAGCGACAAGUUAGAAAGGAAAUCUGUUAAUGCAUUGAAGCCGAAACCUAAUGUGAAAAAUGGUUGUGAUGCAAAAAUUGGAGGUUGUCUAAAUGAAGAAGGAAAAUGGGUCCUUCGAACUUUAAAUCUUCAACACAACCAUGGAUUGAGUCCAGACAAAGCUAGGUAUUACACAAAAUCAAACAAAUUAACGAACUAAAAUAGUUCCUCUAUGGAAGGAAAGUGAGAGGGAGAGAGUAUAUACAAAUGAGAGGUGACGGCAAAAGAAAUUUGCAAAAGAAAGUCUGCAAAAUUUGUAGAUCUAUUGGCUUUGUGCUGCAUCGACGGCAAAGGAAAAUCUACAAGGUUGGUUGGCAUGGUCACGGUAGAGAAGAGAUAAGGUUGGUUAGCCGGUUCUGUGAUGGUAGAGAAGAGAUAAAAAAAUCGUAAAAUUGAUUUUGUGAAAGACAAUUAGAGAUAAAGUAGAGACGGUUGAGAAGAAAUAAGGUUUGAUCUGAUAUCCUUUUCAGACUUCUCUUUUAUUUUUUUAUUAAUAUUUAUUUUUUUUUUAAAGUAACUAUGGGCCCAUGAAGAGAAAAUGAUAAGUGAACGAAACGCAACGAGUGGCUUUAUUUCUUUUUCGAGCCCGUUUUAUAAUUAAAGUGUACAUAUUGAUUAGGUGGCUAAAUUAUUCAAUAACCAUAUUUAAAUGUAGCGCAGCGUGAAUGUUACUUUGAAAUUUUAGAAAAUCAAACAACUUGGAUAAGGUAAUUGAUUCCGCGUGUGGAAUAAAAAAAACUUAUCUCAAAAUAUUGGCUUUAAACGCAAGUUCAUCGGUAUACAUAUGUCCGAAAUGAACUCAUUUUUCAUUUACCAUAAGAAUUCUGAAGUCUUAGAGCUCCCAACCCCCAGGUAUAUGGGUACUUUCUUUUCUUGCUAAUUAAGGCAUAAUUUGAUUUGUGUUGUGCAUAGUAUCAGAGUUAACUAUAUCUAUUAUCCUGUAUAUUCUUAUUUUUCGUGGCCAUCGGAUGCAUGCAGGUGGUGACACAAUGGAAACAAUUCACGUAAAAGAGUCAACAAUAAUACGGCCUGCUCAAGAAACCCCCAGACAUUGCCUACGGUUGAGUGAUUUAGACCUGCUGAUGCCGGCAAGUCACAUCCCCAGUGUGUAUUUCUACCGAA
RNAcentral lists this long non-coding RNA (4280 nucleotides) under Citrus sinensis (sweet orange). RNAcentral's name for it is "long non-coding RNA (CSIN_LNC001567)". Lineage: Eukaryota; Viridiplantae; Streptophyta; Magnoliopsida; Sapindales; Rutaceae. The record is from RNAcentral.